GGCGGACGGGUGAGUAACGCGUGGGAAUCUACCCAGUAGUGGGGGACAACUACCGGAAACGGUAGCUAAUACCGCAUACGCCCUAUGGGGGAAAGGCUUCGGCCGCUAUUGGGUGAGCCCGCGUCAGAUUAGCUAGUUGGUAGGGUAAAGGCCUACCAAGGCAACGAUCUGUAGCUGGUCUGAGAGGACGAACAGCCACACUGGGACUGAGACACGGCCCAGACUCCUACGGGAGGCAGCAGUGGGGAAUAUUGGACAAUGGGCGAAAGCCUGAUCCAGCAAUGCCGCGUGUGUGAAGAAGGCCUGCGGGUUGUAAAGCACUUUCAGUUGGGAAGAUGAUGACGUUACCAACAGAAGAAGCACCGGCUAAAUCCGUGCCAGCAGCCGCGGUAAUACGGAUGGUGCGAGCGUUAAUCGGAAUUACUGGGCGUAAAGCGCGC
This 440-nucleotide ribosomal RNA is filed under the name uncultured Gammaproteobacteria bacterium. Its description in RNAcentral is "bacterial SSU rRNA". It matches the Rfam family "Bacterial small subunit ribosomal RNA", at positions 97 to 570 of the family's 1533-position model. The record is from RNAcentral. Lineage: Bacteria; Pseudomonadati; Pseudomonadota; Gammaproteobacteria.